AAUUUGUUGGUCCAAAUUAUACGGACCCUGCCUUAUAUUACUCUUAUACAAUACACUCUCACAAACAAACGAAUUUAACGUUCUUCAACCCACUCUUAGAUUCUUCUUCUUCCUCCCUUCCCCUCUUGCUCUCAAAUUUUCAAAGUUUUGCUCUCAAAUUUUCAAAUUUUCAAUCAUUCCUAUCGCUCUCGAUAUGAUAUCAUCAAGAAUAACAAAAAAUCUGGAUACAGAAACCUUUUAUUUCCUCUCCCACAAAGUACGCGAGUUCUGAAAACCCUAACUACCCAAAUCGAUUUCUGUUCCGAUCCACUCUCAUGAAGCCUUCUCGCGAUGUCUGUUCUGGAAACUGGAUCCACUCUCAUGAAACCUUCUCGCGAUGUCUGUUCUGAAACCUUUUACUACCCAAAUCGAUUUCUGUUCCGAUCAAUCGCGAUGACAGCGCGCCGGAGACGACGUGGCAGCAUCAUUUGUAUGGAGAGAUCAACAUGUGGCUGCGGCGGCGGCGUUUCCUGCCCAAGGUGGUCGUGCGGCUUCCAUAGAAACUGGAACAAGCUCUAUAUAUCUAAUUUGGAUCAUGGUGUUUCCAAUGAUGAUAUAAAGAUAUAUCUAUAAAUGCUGAAAAUCUUUGCAUGAUAAGUUUUGAGAUGGUCAGGAUAAACCAGAGGUUCAACGAGAACAUAAAUAUGAGGUGUUGAUAUUAUUGGGUGAUGCAAGCAGUGCACUUGGACAUAUGAGCAAAGGUGUAGCUGCAUUGUCUAUGGAUAAGUUCAUUCAAAGUCGACCGAGACAGGAAAACAAAUGUGUGGAGGAUUUUGGUGACGUUGUUAGAGAGUGAGGUGGAGCAUUAAUUAUGUUAGGCACCUUUCUUAAUCCCAGAUCAAAGAAAAUGUUAUCUGGCAUAAGUCAACGUCAUGAUGUUCCAGAUGAGAAUAAUGUGCUGCUUGCCGUCACCGACGAAGGGUAAAAGGAAACGGGAAGAUAGAGCAUGGUCAAGAUUUCCCAAAAAUUAUAAGAGAUAGAAUUUGUUAUCGAAUAAUCAGUGACUAAACCCGUUCCUGGGAGUCAAGGAGAGCAUGGUGUUAUUGGAUCGGCGAGAAGAAUUCCUUUAAAAGAUAUUGCUAACGUUGGUUCUUCAUCUUUAAAAAAAACAGCAAAAUCAUCAGCAACAACAAGUUCGUUGAAGGCAGGGAAAUAUACAGUACGUAAUGGUACAUUUAUUAAUCGCGCAAGAUGUUCACUAAGAGCUUCGUUUAGGCGGAAUGUGGAAUCUAUCAAACCACGUCAUAUUGCAUUCCAAGUGCUGCUGCAAACAUGGCCAACCAACCUAACUUUGCCCGGGAUACUUGGAAAGAUACAGAUGACUGGAAACGAUAAAGACCAGAGAUAAAUGGCCACUUCUGAUUUGGUUAAUUAGUUGACCAAACCCACUUUUAGGGCCGAUCCUGAUCUCGAACUUAAAUUGAAAAAUAUCAUCAUACAACAACUAGACAUGCUGCUAGUGAUGUUUCUGGGACUUGCUGUCAAAUGCCUUGCUCCGUUAGUCAGGAAGAUGAAUGAGCCUUGCACCGUUAGUCAUCAUGCCUAUUGAAAUGUUUCAGAUGACAAUGGAAGUUACACAGAUCCAAUUAAAUGCCCAAGCAGUGGAUGGUGCUGUGAGGAAACAAGCUGAAGAUAACUUGAAACAAUUCCAGAUACCAGCAGCAGCGAAGACACAAUGAUGGUACUGAAGAUGCUGGCCUUGUUGGUCAUAUAUUCAUCUAAAUGAGUUCAAAUUUUGGCGUUCCUCUGGUGGUCUAUUCCAAAGGAAAAACUAUCAAUGCGAAGGAGGUGCUAGCUGCUGGUCCUCGGCCUCAACCUAUAAUGGAAACAGUUUUAAUUACUCUGAUGCAUGUUGGAUUACAUAGUGAGAAGGUGGAGUUAGAGGCUGUUUUUAUGAUAUGCGUGGUUUCUGCUGUUGAUUCUUGUCAAUGAGAAUUGGUCUGCACUGUACUUGACGAUCUUUCUAAGGAGCUUCAGUAUAUGACUAGAACGAAGAGUGGCAAUUGGUGGAGAUGGUAGCUGCGUGUGAUGGUGUGUUCAGAUCUUAUUCUCGACGAAGGAGAUGGAAGAUAGAUGUGUUGCAGAUCUUGUGAUGGAGGGCUGCUGAUCUGGUUGUAGAUCUUGUGGAUGGCUGCCGAUCUGGUUGGAGAUCUUGUGAAAGAAGGAUGCGGUUAGAGAAGAGAAGAGAUUGCGUGUUAUGAUGCAAUAAUUUUAGUUUCGUACUCUAUUUUGUUCGUUGAAUGUCUUCCAAGAAUGCAAUAAUUUUUGCUUUUGCUAGUGUUAUAUUUCUUGUCCUCGUCUAUAAGUUUUCACUUUUCACCUUUUUGUUCCUUUUUCCAGGUGUCCUGGACAUUUUUAUCAUGUACGGUGCAUAUACAACUACCAGCUCUAUCACGGAUUUUUCUAAGAUUUCUUUGGUUUAGGCUUGCUUUAGUUUUGUAACUUUCCUUUAUGUGUAUAUUUGCCCAAAAUAAUGAUUUUUAUCUUAUAUCUUCAGGUUUUUGUUGUUUUUUAUUGAUGUGUUGAUGAUGUUUACAUUUACAACUCUUUGUUAUGAUGGCAGAAAAGCACUCCAGGAAGAGAGUAAAAGCGAUUCAAAUUCGGUUAUUUUCAGAUUUUAUGUUAUUGUUGUCGGGAUUUAUGCCGAUGUCCAGUUUUUCAUUAGUUUCCUCAUGCAGAUUCCUGCAUUGUCAUCUUCUGACAAACCAAUGUGAUCGUUGGCCUCUCAUUCGCUUUGUGAAGUGGCCGCGCCAGGAACGACAUUAUGUUGGACGGGGAAUGUAUGAAAGGAGUUUCGAUUUCAUAAAGUAUAUGCUGUUUUGGCUUGUCAUUUUGAGUGCAAAAUUUUUAUUUGCUUACUUUCUUCAGGUACGUGACAUACUCAUAGUUGCCUCCAAAUUGGAAUUAUACUGUUAGAACUGGUAUCUAAAUUAAUUAAAUAUACUGAAUUUACUAGAAUAUUUUAGAUAAUAAAUCUUGAAGCACUGUUCCGAAGAGCAGUGAUUACAUAUAAUGCAGUAGCAGUUCUUCCUCUGGCCAAAACUGACAGAUUCAUUUUCUGACGUAACAAUUAAAGAAGUUACACACAAAUGACAGGAAUUUGAGAGCCCGUCCUCUCCCUAACCAACCGGUUUAUACCAAAUAAUGCCUCAAUUAAAACAACAAACUACUAUUUAUAGAGUUACACACACACUAAUAAAAACAUAACUGACAUAAUUAAAAUAACUUCUCCUAAUAAUAUAAUAACUGCCAUUAAUUACAUAAUAAAUACGUAAUAAUAUUUACUAAUAAGUGGUCUAACGUAUGCAUCUGUUUGUUCUUGUGUGCCUAUAUGUGGGUGAGUGGAUAAUAUUGCUUGUACCUACUGUGCGUAUGCUUAUAUGCUUGUACACUUGAAUGUUUUAUUUUUGAGGUUUUCAGAUCAAGCCACUUGUGAAACCAACAAAGGACAUAAUAAAAGAGAAAAACUUAGUUUACUCUUGUCAUGAUUUUGUAUCUAAAAGUAAGCGGUGGUCUGUUUAAGUUUGUGGUUAUGUCUUUUUGUUUCCUGUUGAUGCUAUUGGCUACUAAAGUGCCUUUAGUUUUGCUGAUAAUCUCAAUGCUUUGACAAUUGUUAGCAUAUGGUCUCCAGUGGUUUUCGUAAGUGCAUCACUGUUUUGCCUUUUUACCCCCUUGUAUGCUUUAGUUCUACUUUUUUCGUUAAUGAUAGCUUUCUUCUCUCGUGGGGAUGAAAUUGUCUUUCAAGAGGUUGUUGAAGUUUGGUGUGAACUAUGAAGUAGCACAGAUAUUAAUGUGAUAUUUAUGUACGGUAUCAUUUAUGAAGCCUUCUAGCAUUUUAUGUUUAUGUUCAUUUGCACUCAAAACAAGCUUUUCUGCUGAAAGCUAUAUCUUGAAAAACAUGUUUAGCUCUUGUAAGUUGUAACUCAAAUACUCAAAUAAAUAUAUUAUUUUAGGAGGUAUUGAACUAAUAUUGAGUUGGAACAUUUUCAGUACUGAUGGUUGUUUUUGUUAUUGAUUUAUCUCAUCCUUUUCACCUUGACUGUUUCUAUUGUGCAGGAGAAUGAUGAUAGAUAUAUUAUACUACCUAGGAGAUGCUGCUCUGUUUUCCUAUUAAUAUAAAUAAAAUACUUUACAUUUUUUUAUUUUUUUUUUAGCGUUUAUAAUAUAGCUCCAUUGCUAAGAUUUUGCAUCUAAAAACGGUUCCCCCCGAGAGCCCCUUGAUUGAUUAUUUGGCUUUCGUCAGGCUCACAACGGUAAAUAAGCGAUUCGCGGGAGGCCACCUGUGUCCAUUGUUUUAUAUUUUAGUUUAUUAUUAUAAUUUUAUUAUGUUGGCAUGUUUGAUUUUGAUUUUAGGAAAUUCAACGUCUUUUUCCCAGAAAGUUGUGCUCAAGAUGGCUGUACCUUACACUGUUAGUCAAGUCUUUCUUCAUGGAGCACUUGAAGCUUCUAAAGAAGAUGGCACCACUUUCAUAGUUAAUGGACAACAUGCAAAACAUUACGAGGAAGGGUUGCUCCAAGUGAGAUAUGUCGUUUGCCUCAGUGAUUGAAAGCUUUCUCAGGGAAGUCACUGUUACUCUCUCUCACUUAUUUACUUCUGUGCCUGGUUGAAUAUUUGACAUUGAAGACCAUGCUCUGAACUAGCACAAUGUGCUAUGUUGACUAUCUUUUUGUAAACUAUCUUCUAAAUGUGAGAUUUGAGCCUCUAUAAGGGGAUACAUUCUAGAACUUGUCUUGUGUUCCACUGAAAUUGAAAUGCAUAAAAUUGCAGGGUAAGGGGACAUAUAAGAAUGAUAAGGCUGGAUUGACACUUGCUGAUCUUGCUUACCGACGUGCAAAAGCAGUGAAGAAUCAUCAAAAGAAAUCUAAUAACUCUAAUCCUUUGCCAAAACCUUCCUCUUCCAGGCUAGAGGAAAUGCGGGAGCUAUUCCAGAGUGACGUGAAGGAUAAAAAGCCGAAACGGAGAGGUUCUUGAACAGGAAAGAAGGCGAAGAAGUCAUUGAAAAGCAAGUCAAGCUGUAACCAGUGCUGCCAUGCUGAUCGGUUGCAGUUCCCAGGAAUUAAUAACGGCAUUAUCUACCCAUAAAAUCCAACCUUGCGAGCGAGGACACUGUUGCCACAAGUUUGACAUUAUUGCAGGCAAUUGAAACAAGAGAUACAAUUGCCAAAUUUAUUUAUGCAAGCUUGUUUGAAUGGCUUGUACAACAAGUUAACAAGUCACUUGCAGUGGGUGAAAACCAUACAGAGAAAUUCAUUAGUAUCCUUGCUUUUUAUGUGUUUCAGCCAUUCCAGGUAUUCAACAUGAUUCGUUGCGUGUGACAGACUUGAUAAUUCCUUCUCAUAAUAUGUAGUUGAAGCAAAGGUGAUUUUCAAUUUGUGUUUUGAACCGUCGAUCACAUAAGAAAGAUCACUCACGCAGUCAUGCUGCAAAGAAAGUGAAAUGCAUAAAUGAAGGGGCCAUAUGGUGCAAAAGAGUGUAACCGCAACAACUCAAAAAUACGAGGAAGUUGCAUGGUUGGCCUAAGCGAAAAUGGAAGAGAAAGUGCCCUCUCUCUGCUGCCAAAUAGGCUAAAACUGGAUGAUGUCUUUGGGGCUCCAAAGUAACCUCAUUAAUGAUAACACAGCUUCAGAUUCAAUCUUCGUUGAGAUUCAAUGAAGCUUCAAAUUCAAUCUUCCUUGAAAUCCAGCAAAUGAUGGAACAAUGCUAUUGGAACAGAUGGCUGUUGUUAACCAGAUUGCGAAGCUGAUGGUGGAGUUUAUUGAGGAGUCAGGACUAUGAAAUUGGUGAUGGUACUACUGGAGUUGUUGUGUUGGCUGGAUCUCUUACAGCUUGGAGGUUUUGUAUGACAAACUACUCACGAUAAUGACUGGAAAUCUACAUAUUGCAAAGACUUUUGUAGUGUCUUUAACCAUAUGCUUGACAAUAAAUACAUCGUUGCUUUUUGGAACACAGCAUAUUGAACAAUUCUUCAGUCAAUUUGUUACAACACUUAUCAUGCACUUCAAGGCUGAAAUCACCACACCAAUUUUCUUUGUAAACGCGACAUAUGACUCAUGGCAGGUUAGAUUGUUUUGUUGCCCAAUAUAAAUUAGUAAUUGAUGUUUUUGGUGUUAGCUUUGAAUAUAUGAGAUAUACAACAAGUCUUUUCCCUGAUCCUCAAGGGCACUGACAAUCUGGCAUAGCUGCAAGCUAGAUAUAAACAACUGCUCUUCUAAUCAACUUGAUCUAAUGCAAGGUGAAUUUUUUCCUUCAUAGGUUGUCAAAUCCCAAGUCCUAACUGCAAGAUAUUAUAGAAUUUAUCUGACAUCACUUUUACCAUGACUUGAUUGUCAGGCUUUAGAACACAAUUUCUAAGAGCAAUGAUUGUAGCUUCAAUUUCACGAGUAGAUUCUAAUUUAUGAAUGAAUUUGUGUAGUUUAUUUAUCACGAUGAUUUUGACUUUGUUCUUGCUCUUGCCACCAAAUCGCCUUCAUUGCAUGAACUGACUUGACGAUUCCCUCUCGUAAGGUAUUCGACAAGAUCGACAUGAUUCGUUGCGUGUGACCGACUUGAUGAUUCCCUCUCAUAAUACAUGUCAGAUGCAGGUCUUCUUUCUAAUACACUUGCACUGGAUGCAAUUCACGAUAUUGUUCCCUCCCAUGUUAUAAAUGUCACGGCCUUGUUUCUGUGCCUACUUUACUUGGUCAAUGAUCCAAAGGUAGUAUAUGGGGUGAGAUUGAAAUGCAGCAAGAUGUCUUAUGAGCCAAGCUUUGCAUAAGAUGUCUGGAAUUGCCUUUAAAGACGGUUGUCCAAAUAUGAUAUAAGGAGAUUCUAUUGUGCAGGAGAAUGAGGAUCGAUAUAUUAUACUACCUAGGAGAUUCUGCUCUGUUUUCCUAUUAAUAUAAAUAAAAUACUUUACAUUUAUUACAAACUCCUUUUCUCAAAUAUAAUAUAGCUCCAUUACUAAGAUAUUGCAUCUAAAAACGCUUUGCCCUUGGAGAGCCCCUUGAUUGAUUAUUUGGCUUUUGUCAGGCUCACAACGUUAAAUAAGGGUUUCGCGGGAGGCAACCUGUGUCCAUUGUUUUAUAUUUUAGUUUAUUAUUAUAAUUUUAUUAUGUUGGCAUGUUUGAUUUUGUUUUUAGGAAAUUCAAUGUCUUUUUCCCAGAAAGUUGCGCUCAAGAUUGCUUGGACCUUACAUUAUUAUUACUCAAGUCUUUCUUCAUGGAGCACUUGAAACUUUCAUAGUUAAUGGACAACAUGCAAAACAUUAUGAGGAAGGGUUGCUCCAAGUGAGAUAUGUCGUUCGCCUCAGUGAUUGAAAACUUUCUCAGGGAAGUCACUUUUAUUCUCUCUCACUUAUUUACUUCUGUGCUUGGUUGAAUAUUUUACAUUGAAGACCAUGCUCUGAACUAGCGUCGGGGAGGAUAUAUAUUUUGGCACAUUACUUCUGCUAAUUCUUGUUGAAUGAAUUUUCUGGCUUGUUUUAAUUAAGUUAUGCUUAAAAAUAGAGGUUAUGUCUUUGAGGUACCCUUGAAAAUUUUAUUUGACAGACUUGUUCAAUGUUGAUAAUGGGGUUGUCUUUUGAAAGCUAAUAAUUAGCAUAAUGUGCUAUGUUGACUAUCUUUUUGUGAACUAACUUCUAAAUGUGAGAUUUGAGCCUAUUUAUUAUGCAUUUCCUUGGUUUUUGUUUUAUAUUUCUCGUCUGGUGUUAAUAAGAAAUGAAAUGAAGAGGAGUGCUAGGGUCACACCCUCUAACACACUCUUUUAACACACACCAAUAACAAUCAGCCAUGUCAUUCAUUUUUUUAUUCCUAUCACCUGUUACCGGUUUUGUUUUGAUAGAGUAUACAAUUUAUUUUUUUAUAUUUUAUUUGCACUUAACUUUUCAUCUUCGGUCUUCAAUUUCUCACCAACACUGUUCAUUCAUGUUCCAGCAGGUUCUUCACUUCUCCUCUGUCCAUUCACUUUUUCUCUCCUAUUGAUGUGUAAGAAAACUCAAACAUAAAGAUUGCCACCAACACAGGAGAAUGGAACCCGGCCCAAAAAAAUAAUAGAAUCACUCCGAAGAAAUAAUUUAGAAAAAGAUCUGGAAAACACCUGCAACAAACAUAGACCAUAUCGAAACUUCAUUAAUUGUUCUGUUAUAUGGUAUCAAGGAGAAGAGCACCAAGCUCUUCAUUCAAGCUUCAUCAUUUUCACCAUCACAAACCUUCAAUUUUCUUUCAUCUUCAGCAAAAUCAAAUUCUAAACGUCACGAUCUUCCUUAUUCAAUUCAAAACCCUAAGAUUUCAAUCUUUACAAUAAUCAAUAGAACUCACAAAAGAGAUGUUGACAAAAACGACCUUAAUCGGAAAAGAAUAAGUCAGAUUGAUCGGAGAAAUUGCAGAAAAUCCGAGUAACAUUCAAUUUUUUUUUUUUUUGUUUUUGACAAAAGGUUAUAUCUUGCAACCUGAACAACCGGUCAGCAUGUAAGUGAAUAAAAAAAAAUAGAUGACUUGGCUAAUUGUUAUUGGGGUGUGUUAAAAGAGUGUGUUAGAGGGUGUGACCCUAGCACUCCUCUUGAAAUGAAUUUUAACAGGCAUCCUUGGAUAAGGAAGACUGUUCUUCUCAUAAAACUAUCAUUCAGCAACAUCAGAAACUAUCUUGUGAUUCAUGUCGCGACCUAAGUUGUGGUGAUGAGAGCUACAUUCCGGUUGCUGAAUUGUCAGUAUUUCUAUAACUAGGAAAUUCGUGUAGUUGUGCUUGUUGUGAGGGUUGCUUGAACGUAACCUCAAAUAAAAUCAAAUCAAAUUGAAUUAAUUUUGUUAUUGGUCACACUUUGAUCGAGAAUGUAUAUAGCCUUUCCAAGCUCUCUCACUAAACUAUAUAUUUGUUGUAUAACUUGUUAAACAGUCACAAUUCUCAAGGAUAUGUACAGGAGCCUAAACAACCCACAAGGGCUGAAAGGAUGGAAUGGUGGCGAUCCUUGUGAGGAGUCUUGGAUUACAGUAUCCAUCAUCGCUCCUGCACUGAGAACGGUUAGCACCCCACACAAUCUUCGUAAGCUUACAUCCGCAACACAUGCCCCUUUCGUUGAGGUCUCUCAAGACACGGUGGUGCUAGAGUUCAACCAUUACACUUCUGGCUUAAGAUGGAGACAGAAUAGUAUCGGUAGGUAAGAUCAUAGGGCGGAAGGAAUUGAGGCUGAUGAAUUUUAUGGGGGAAUAAGAUCACAGUGAGAAUGAAUUUUAUCACUUGUUUAUCUAGCAGUCCUUGUUUGAUUGGAUAUGAAGCAAGUGAACAAUGCAUAUCCAUAAAAUUUAUAUUUGAGCUAUCAUUCAUUCAUUCCUAAUAAGCACAGUUCCGUUACGUGCAGCUUUCUUAGCUAGCAAGGCUUCAACUCUUGCUAUUUUAUAUUUUGGCAGCUACUGCUCCUGCUUUUGGUAAGCCAUGUUUUUUGAAUUGGAAUCAUGUUUAUUGUUCUUUCUUUGAGGUGUGUGAACUGGUAUUCUUUUGGUCAGGUAUAGCCUACUUUGAAAAACGUUACAACUUAGGGGAAAUAAGUUUUGGCUGAAAGAGCCAAUGGCUAGUCCUUUGUUGGUUACAUCUUGUUAGUUAAUUUUUAUUUAGGGAUGUAGCCCUUAGUUCUAUUUGAACGUUAACUCAGCUAUUCAAUGUAUUUAAUGUGUUUUAAGGGAUAGAGCUGGCAUUGGUCAAAUUCUGAAUAGCUUAACCAUACUUAUUUACCUUGUCCUGUAAUUAUUAAACUAUUUUAAACUUUUCAGUUCAAACUAAAUAACUUUUCCUGUAUCUGAAUUAUGUGUUUGGGUAAUGUAUACUACAAGCAUAUUUCAUUUAGUUCGGUGGCUGUUCUGAGUCUGCACUUCCUAGUCAACCAUUUUUCUUUUCUUGUCUUUGGCGCUGUAACUUUUAGGCUCGAGUGUUUAGGAAUUGAAUAAGUCUUAGACUUUGAAUUGGAAUUAGUAAGCUAGAAGAGAUACUCCUUGGACUCUCUCCUCAGUAAGUAUACUCCUUGAACUUCUCACUUAUGUGGUUUAUAUACAAAAAGAGAAGUUAGCACUAUUUUAAACAUGAGUUAGUACCUAGGUAAUACUAAAUUUUUAAAUUUAAGUCAAAUUUAUGUAUAUGCUGUCACACAACCCUUGAAUACAACCAAUUCUUAGAGUAAAACUAAAAGCAAAACUUAAAAAUUGUCAUAUAGCAUAUAUGCUAAAAUACUAUACCAAACACAAGAUUCAUAUUGCAUAAUUGUGAACUCUGUUGUUAAAAGUGGCCGCUAUUGUGGCGCGGCGUGGAAAAAUCGAGGUCACUGCUACUAGCCGUGUCGUAGCAGCGCAGACGAGUGAUGCGGUGGGAACUGUUGGGGUCGCAGGCGCAAUUGCAGAUCGGAUCGGCGUUGAUAUCUUUUUAUUGCUUUCUAUUAUUUUUGGGAUUGGGGUAGGCGAUUUUUCAGACUAUAUCAACAAUUCACAUCUUGGGACAUCCUGAACGGCCUCUUGUGAUAAGAUAUGUAUCUCUUAAUUAUUUUACAAACUCUGUCAUAUUUCAUAGAAUCUUCCCUUAUCUAUUACGACUACACCAAAUAUAAAGUGAUUAAACAUUCAACGUUUGCCAAGGUAUCCAUGUAUCAAUGCUUCAUAUAAUUUUGUUAAUGUAUUUCAUAAAUUUUUGAAGUUUUUGCGGUGUAUUUAGGCUUACAAUAGAUAAUUGCAUGAUAUAUUUUCCACUUCAAUCUUAAAAUUAGAAGCUUAGUUUAUCUUUACUCUCUGACAUGAACUGAAAAAAGUUUUGGUCUGUUUGCUAUUGAAUGUGUUUCUUUUUCUUUGAUAGUAAAUAUUUGAAACAAAUAUUAGAGGAGCUUGAGACAGUUUUUUUUCCAGGGUAACUGAAAAUGUCUUUGGCAGAGUGAUUUGAGAUCUUUUGAAGCGAAAGUUUCUCAAUCUUUGUGAAUGCUUAUUAAUCUAGGAAAUUAAUUACUUUAAGAAUUAUUGUUACUUUUUUUUGGAAGCAAAUGACACAAUUGAAGAAAUUUUUUCAGUGGCCUCUUAGCGAUUGGUACUCCAACAUAAUAUUGAAAUGUUCUUAGAUAUACGAUAUAUUUUUUAAGUUGUGCCCCCUAUUCUGGUUUCAUGUUGUAAUUCAAUCAGGACUGAUAUACAUAAGGUUUAAGUAUUAUAAAGUUACAAUUUUCACACGAGCCAAUAUACAAUAAGCUUUCUGCAGAGUAUCUACUUGAUUAUAUCCUUACACUUGCUGAAUUGAUCUUUUGGGAAUGUUGAAAUUAUGAUCUUCUACUUGCUUUAAGAGAUCUUGAUAAGCAUUGCAAAACUAACGUUUAGUUGUCAUAAGUCAUGAAUGAAGUUGCUAGCGGUUUUUAGUUGUCAUAAGCCAUUGAUCUAGCCAUAGAAGUAGAUUUAUAGUACCAUGAUAUAUGAAUUGUCAGACUUAGUAGGAGAGAAGCAAUUCUAGCCUGCAUGGAGACAUCAACAUAAUGUUUUCAGAUAAUUCAGAUUUCCAUCAUUUGUCUUAUCCUCGAUAUGUCUAUUUUUUUCCAUUUCAAAAUUGAUUUCUUGUGAUGUUCCUGGCAGAUGCAAAAAGCAUUCGGUUUAGAGAAAGUCCUAAAGAAGGGUGGGAUCUGGAAAAAUAUUAUGGGACUGAUCAAAAGAAGGUCGCCGAUGAUAUUUUGGUAGAACAUACUAGUUAUACUGCAAACAAUAUGGUGGGAAUGAUGGCAUGCCUACUUGCUCUAGGAAAUUCAACGUCUUUUUCCCAGAAAGUUGCGCUCAAGAUGGCUUGGACCUGACACUGUUAGUCAAGUCUUUCUUCAUGGAGCACUUGAAGCUUCUGAAGAAGAUGGCAUCACUUUCAUAUUUAAUGGACAACAUGCAAAACAUUACGAGGAAGGGUUGCUCCAAGUGAGAUAUGUCGUUCGCCUCAGUGAUUGAAAGCUUUCUCAGAGAAGUCACUGUUACUCUCUCUCACUUAUUUACUUCUGUGUCUGGUUGAAUAUUUUACAUUGAACACAAUGCUCUGAACUAGUGUGGGGGAGGAUGUAUAUCUUGGCACUUUACUUCUGCUAGUUCUUGUUGAUUGAAUUUUCUAAAUGGUAAGGGGACAUAUAAGAAUGAAAAGGCUGGAUUGACACUUGCUGAUCUUGCUUACCGACGUGCAAAAGCAGUAAAGGCCACCAAGAGGGCACUAGACUCUGGCAAGAUUGUGAACAAUCCUCAAAAGAAAUCUAAUAAAUCUAAUCCUUUGUGAAAGCCUUCCUCUUCAAGGCUAGAGGAAAUGCGGGAGCUAUUCCAGACUGACGUGAAGGAUAAAAAGCCGAAACAGAGAGGUUCUGGAACAGGAAAGAAGGCGAAGAAGUCAUUGAAAAGCAAGUCAAGGCUGAAAAUUCGGUUGCUGAAAAUUGAGAAAGAUGACACUUCAAUUUGAAGGAAAUUUGACGGGAAGAGAGGGGCUACAUUUAACGAAAAGUGGUUUCUUUUAUCAAUCACAAGUUUCAUAACACUGGCAGGGUUGCAAUGCAUGACUCAUAAUUUUUCUGUAACCAGUGCUGCCAUGCUGAUGGGUUGCAGUUCCCAAGAAUUAAUAACGGCAUUAUCUACCCAUAAAAUCCAACAUGGCGAGCGAGGACACUGUUGCCACAUGUGUGACAUUAUUGCUGGCAAUUGAAACAAGAGAUACAAUUGCCAAAUUUAUUUAUGCAAGCUUGUUUUUAUGGCUUGGACAACAAGUUAACAAGUCACUUGCAGUGGGUGAAAAACAUACAGAGAAAUUCAUUAGUAUCCUUGCUUUUUAUGGGUCUCAGCCAUUCCAGUAUGGGAGAUACCAAUGCGAACUACUUGUGGAGGACUUGGAUAAGAAUUGAAAUUGAAUCAUAUUGAAUAACUCGCUAUCUUCUCUACAUAUUAUUUCUUUGACAUUACCAAUGUGCUUUAUAUAUGAAGUUGACUAAAAUUUCCUAUUCAUAUAACCCAUUACACCAUUGGAGCACUGUGAAAGGCAGAAUAAAUCGUUGACAGAAAUCUGGCCCAACUAUUUUAACCCCAAGCUUUCUUCAAGGUUAUCAAAUAUAGUUGAGGAAAGAGUUGAGCUGCGGGAGAUUUCAUUCGGAUCAUUCCCUCCUAGCUUGGCGUUGCAAGGGAUGCGAUGGUGAACUAUGGGUGAUCAGCGAGUCAUGCAACUUGGUUUUGAUUGGGACACCAAUUAAAUGAGCAUUUUAAUACUUGCUAAGCUUGCGAAGCCUUUGAUGGGAACUACACGAAUUGUUAUUAACAUUCUUCAUAUCAAGGGAGGUCUUAUCUUUACACCGACUCUUGAUGGAAGAGCGCUUUUAUACUCGUUUGUAUCAGCUCCUGAGGUGAGUGCAGGAGUUGGCUUUGGAUGCGGCGGGAGUCAGUCACUUCCAGCUCCUGAGUGGCCUGGAAAAGUUUUUACUGACACCUUGGAUAAAACUUAAUUUUGGCUGUAAACACCAAGGGUUCUUGAGCUGUCGUAUGGAAGUAAACUUGUAAAAGAAAAUUAUGUAGUUCAAGAAAGAAUGGUUCUCCUCCUUUAUGUAGUAGAGGCUAUGAUGUGGAGUCUCCGUACUAUCGAGAACUGCAAAAUUGCGUAGGAGGAACACAUAGCAGCCGUUGGAUUUCUAUUGAACAGAGGGCAACCUGACCUUCAAGGGAUCACCCGAAAAAGAAUGAGCUUUCAAUAUAUGCUAACAUUUAUGGUAACUGUUAUUGGUUUCAUAACUUUCUCGGGUGUAAAACAUUAUUACAUUGAUGGUUUGAGCAAAGCCUCAUACUUAUUUAUGUUCAGGUAGAGUAUACAAUUUGAUUUUCUUGGUUCUAAAAUUUAUUUGAGUUGUGAGAAGAGACUGGUUUUAUAUAGCAGCACAAAAAAAAAUGCAGUUUGUUUUUUUAAAAAAAAUGCAAUUAAUAUUUGAUACUCUGUUAACAAACUUAUAAUUUAUUGGAACUCAUGCCUAUGAUUUAGUAAUUGAUAUAUAAGUGUAUUCUUCCAGCAAUUACCCAUAAAUUUGAAUUAAUAUUGAAAAAGACUUACUUCCAGUGAAGAACUCCUGUUAUGGACAGUUGAAAUAGCAGUUACUUGCAUUAUAAGUACAUAUUGCUUUA
Molecule: long non-coding RNA, 14148 nt
Organism: Trifolium pratense (red clover)
Lineage: Eukaryota; Viridiplantae; Streptophyta; Magnoliopsida; Fabales; Fabaceae
Exons: 50
Source: RefSeq, a predicted model, not a curated record